ACUAAAUAUUGAUUAUUAUGGGUAAAAUCAUCUUAGAAUUAUAAAUCAUACAGAAAAUUUAAUUCAUGUUGUUUAUCCGUUUGGGACAACUGGUUUUUUAGCUCAGAAUAGGAUAUAACUAACAAUUUGAACCCAUUUUAUUUGGCGUGUCAUAUAUUCAGUUCUUUAAAUUUACAGAAUGACGUCACUUCCUUGCUGAUCAAAAACAAGGAAAAUAUUUUGAAACUUGUAGUUUUCAUGUAAUAUUGUGCCUCCUGUAGGAUGGGAGGUUGUAUAGGGUCCAACAGGAAUAACUCUGGGGGUCAUCGUGACAGUUCAGAUGGUGCAGCACAAGUAUCAAUAGGCAGAAAUCAGCCUUUAAAGCCAGAAAAGCCAAAAUGGAAAAGUGAUAUUCCCCUCACAGAAGGACAAUUGAGAAGUAAACGGGAUGAAUUUUGGGAUACAUCUCCAGCCUUUGAAGGACGAAAAGAGAUCUGGGAUGCUUUGAAAGCUGCUGCAUAUGCCCUGGAAACUGGGGACCACACGCUUGCUCAAGCUAUAGUAGAUGGAGCGAACAUUGCAUUGCCAAAUGGCAACCUUAUGGACUGUUAUGAUGAGUUAGGGAAUAGAUAUCAGCUGCCAGUAUAUGUACUUAGUUCCCCCACCAACCUUAUUGAUGAUAAAUCAGAAUCCGAUAGCCUCGGAGACUUGGACAAUACAUCUCCUGGGGUGGAAAUUCCACUAAAAUUCCGUCUUUCUACAGGAAAGGAUAUUAAACUGAUAACAAGGUCGACAGAGACAGUUUUCCGUGUUAAGAAACGGAUUAUGGAACAAGAGGGCAUAGACUCAUCCAGACAAAGAUGGUUCUUCUCAGGACGGUUAUUAAGUGACAAAAUGAGAAUCGAAGAUGCAAAAAUCCCGAAAGGAUUUGUUGUACAGGUUAUAAUAUCGCCUGAGAAUCCAAUAGCAGCGGAUAGUUGAAACAAAGUGUGCAGUAUAGAAAAUUAUCAUUUAUAAUUAAUAUAAUACGAAAUAAGUUUAUUUUAUUGUGAUAACUUUUAUAAACAUUUAUAAAAGGGGCUCAAAAAUCAGAAUGUCCCUGAACUAGUAUGGACUAGUUUCAAAUGUUGCUCGCAAAAAUGGGCUCAGUUGUAAGUCAUUAAAUUUUUAUUUUGGGGGAAAAUUUGUACAAUAUUAUUGAAUAUUACUCUUUAGACACAGUAAGAUUGUGAUAGAAAUGCCAAUUAUAUAUUGUAUAUCCUGUAUAUAUAUAAUAACCAUUAUAAUAUAGUGUAUUUUAGAGAUGUUCUCUUAAAGCAUAUAUCCAGGAAUACAGAAUUGCAAAUUUCCCACAGUUCUUUUCACAUGAAGGACAUUUGAAAAAAUUAUGUUUCAUCUUGUCAAAAAUCUGCACCCUGCCAAAAGUGUGAGAUAUCGAAACAUUUUUACCAAAAAAGGUAAAUUCAGGAUGUGUCACCCAGUUGAGAAAAAUCCUGGGGAGAUCAUUGGAUACUUAAAAAAUAAUGACUCAAAAUUUUAAAAUCUAUCAUUUUUGCCUGGAGAUGUACUAUUCUGGUGUAUAGUAUUAUAAUAUUGUAUCAUAUCCAUAAGAAACACACUGUGGUAUACUCUGUAUAAUAAACCACCCUUUGACACUAAUAUAAAAUUAGACCCUCGAUUUCCACUUUUUACAAAUCUCAAACACCACUACAGUAAAACCUCUAUAUAGUGAACACUUGUGGAGUCAGAAAAAGGUGUUCAAUGUAGGUAAGUAUUCAUUAUAGAGAUUUGAUUUUAUACAAGAGGCCAUGUAAAAUGUUUCAUCAAGUGAUGUU
RNAcentral lists this unclassified non-coding RNA (1814 nucleotides) under Owenia fusiformis. RNAcentral describes it as "misc RNA OFUS_LOCUS9891". Lineage: Eukaryota; Metazoa; Annelida; Polychaeta; Sabellida; Oweniidae. The record is from RNAcentral.